UGAACAUUGAGCCUUGAUGUGUAGGAUAGGUGGGAGGCUUUGAAGUGUGGACGCCAGUCUGCAUGGAGCCGACCUUGAAAUACCACCCUUUAAUGUUUGAUGUUCUAACGUUGACCCGUAAUCCGGGUUGCGGACAGUGUCUGGUGGGUAGUUUGACUGGGGCGGUCUCCUCCUAAAGAGUAACGGAGGAGCACGAAGGUUGGCUAAUCCUGGUCGGACAUCAGGAGGUUA
This 231-nucleotide ribosomal RNA is filed under the name Escherichia coli. Its description in RNAcentral is "partial 23S ribosomal RNA". It matches the Rfam family "Bacterial large subunit ribosomal RNA", at positions 2118 to 2348 of the family's 2925-position model. Lineage: Bacteria; Pseudomonadati; Pseudomonadota; Gammaproteobacteria; Enterobacterales; Enterobacteriaceae. The record is from RNAcentral.